UUAAGCGACUAAGCGUACACGGUGGAUGCCCUGGCAGUCAGAGGCGAUGAAGGGCGUGCUAAUCUGCGAUAAGCGCCGGUAAGGUGAUAUGAACCGUUAUAACCGGCGAUACCCGAAUGGGGAAACCCAGUGUGACUCGUCACACUAUCAUUAACUGAAUCCAUAGGUUAAUGAGGCGAACCGGGGGAACUGAAACAUCUAAGUACCCCGAGGAAAAGAAAUCAACCGAGAUUCCCCCAGUAGCGGCGAGCGAACGGGGAGGAGCCCAGAGCCUGAAUCAGCAUGUGUGUUAGUGGAAGCGUCUGGAAAGGCGCGCGAUACAGGGUGACAGCCCCGUACACAAAAGCGCAUGUGCUGUGAGCUCGAUGAGUAGGGCGGGACACGUGGUAUCCUGUCUGAAUAUGGGGGGACCAUCCUCCAAGGCUAAAUACUCCUGACUGACCGAUAGUGAACCAGUACCGUGAGGGAAAGGCGAAAAGAACCCCGGCGAGGGGAGUGAAAAAGAACCUGAAACCGUGUACGUACAAGCAGUGGGAGCACCCUUUGGGGUGUGACUGCGUACCUUUUGUAUAAUGGGUCAGCGACUUAUAUUCUGUAGCAAGGUUAACCGUAUAGGGGAGCCGGAGGGAAACCGAGUCUUAAUUGGGCGUUAAGUUGCAGGGUAUAGACCCGAAACCCGGUGAUCUAGCCAUGGGCAGGUUGAAGGUUGGGUAACACUAACUGGAGGACCGAACCGACUAAUGUUGAAAAAUUAGCGGAUGACCUGUGGCUGGGGGUGAAAGGCCAAUCAAACCGGGAGAUAGCUGGUUCUCCCCGAAAGCUAUUUAGGUAGCGCCUCGUGAAUUCAUCUCCGGGGGUAGAGCACUGUUUCGGCUAGGGGGCCAUCCCGGCUUACCAACCCGAUGCAAACUGCGAAUACCGGAGAAUGUUAUCACGGGAGACACACGGCGGGUGCUAACGUCCGUCGUGAAGAGGGAAACAACCCAGACCGCCAGCUAAGGUCCCAAAGUCAUGGUUAAGUGGGAAACGAUGUGGGAAGGCCCAGACAGCCAGGAUGUUGGCUUAGAAGCAGCCAUCAUUUAAAGAAAGCGUAAUAGCUCACUGGUCGAGUCGGCCUGCGCGGAAGAUGUAACGGGGCUAAACCAUGCACCGAAGCUGCGGCAGCGAACGUAUCACUUAAAGCGAUUCAGCGGAUGACGAUUGACGGAGCGAAGCGACGUCAAAGCGUAUACAAAGUCGAGUCGGUUUAAGGAUACGUUCGUUGGGUAGGGGAGCGUUCUGUAAGCCUGCGAAGGUGGCCUGUGAGGGUUGCUGGAGGUAUCAGAAGUGCGAAUGCUGACAUAAGUAACGAUAAAGCGGGUGAAAAGCCCGCUCGCCGGAAGACCAAGGGUUCCUGUCCAACGUUAAUCGGGGCAGGGUGAGUCGACCCCUAAGGCGAGGCCGAAAGGCGUAGUCGAUGGGAAACGGGUUAAUAUUCCCGUACUUGGUGUUACUGCGAAGGGGGGACGGAGAAGGCUAUGUUGGCCGGGCGACGGUUGUCCCGGUUUAAGCGUGUAGGUGUGUGUUCCAGGUAAAUCCGGUUCACUUUAACACUGAGGCGUGACGACGAGGCACUACGGUGCUGAAGCAACAAAUGCCCUGCUUCCAGGAAAAGCCUCUAAGCAUCAGGUAACAUCAAAUCGUACCCCAAACCGACACAGGUGGUCAGGUAGAGAAUACCAAGGCGCUUGAGAGAACUCGGGUGAAGGAACUAGGCAAAAUGGUGCCGUAACUUCGGGAGAAGGCACGCUGACAUGUAGGUGAAGUGAUUUACUCACGGAGCUGAAGUCAGUCGAAGAUACCAGCUGGCUGCAACUGUUUAUUAAAAACACAGCACUGUGCAAACACGAAAGUGGACGUAUACGGUGUGACGCCUGCCCGGUGCCGGAAGGUUAAUUGAUGGGGUCAGCGCAAGCGAAGCUCCUGAUCGAAGCCCCGGUAAACGGCGGCCGUAACUAUAACGGUCCUAAGGUAGCGAAAUUCCUUGUCGGGUAAGUUCCGACCUGCACGAAUGGCGUAAUGAUGGCCAGGCUGUCUCCACCCGAGACUCAGUGAAAUUGAACUCGCUGUGAAGAUGCAGUGUACCCGCGGCAAGACGGAAAGACCCCGUGAACCUUUACUAUAGCUUGACACUGAACAUUGAGCCUUGAUGUGUAGGAUAGGUGGGAGGCUUUGAAGUGUGGACGCCAGUCUGCAUGGAGCCGACCUUGAAAUACCACCCUUUAAUGUUUGAUGUUCUAACGUGGACCCGUAAUCCGGGUUGCGGACAGUGUCUGGUGGGUAGUUUGACUGGGGCGGUCUCCUCCUAAAGAGUAACGGAGGAGCACGAAGGUUGGCUAAUCCUGGUCGGACAUCAGGAGGUUAGUGCAAUGGCAUAAGCCAGCUUGACUGCGAGCGUGACGGCGCGAGCAGGUGCGAAAGCAGGUCAUAGUGAUCCGGUGGUUCUGAAUGGAAGGGCCAUCGCUCAACGGAUAAAAGGUACUCCGGGGAUAACAGGCUGAUACCGCCCAAGAGUUCAUAUCGACGGCGGUGUUUGGCACCUCGAUGUCGGCUCAUCACAUCCUGGGGCUGAAGUAGGUCCCAAGGGUAUGGCUGUUCGCCAUUUAAAGUGGUACGCGAGCUGGGUUUAGAACGUCGUGAGACAGUUCGGUCCCUAUCUGCCGUGGGCGCUGGAGAACUGAGGGGGGCUGCUCCUAGUACGAGAGGACCGGAGUGGACGCAUCACUGGUGUUCGGGUUGUCAUGCCAAUGGCACUGCCCGGUAGCUAAAUGCGGAAGAGAUAAGUGCUGAAAGCAUCUAAGCACGAAACUUGCCCCGAGAUGAGUUCUCCCUGAGACUUAGAGUCUCCUGAAGGAACGUUGAAGACGACGACGUUGAUAGGCCGGGUGUGUAAGCGCAGCGAUGCGUUGAGCUAACCGGUACUAAUGAACCGUGAGGCUUAACCUU
RNAcentral lists this ribosomal RNA (2985 nucleotides) under Salmonella enterica subsp. enterica serovar Havana. RNAcentral's name for it is "23S ribosomal RNA". It matches the Rfam family "Bacterial large subunit ribosomal RNA". The record is from RNAcentral. Lineage: Bacteria; Pseudomonadati; Pseudomonadota; Gammaproteobacteria; Enterobacterales; Enterobacteriaceae.